Long non-coding RNA from Thunnus maccoyii (southern bluefin tuna), 1618 nucleotides. RefSeq lists it as uncharacterized. The transcript is spliced from 4 exons. NCBI's taxonomy places the organism in Eukaryota, Metazoa, Chordata, Actinopteri, Scombriformes, Scombridae. The record is from RefSeq and is a predicted model, not a curated record.
GUUACUCCAUCCUUACAGUCAGGCAAUCUUCGUUGUCAUGGCAACAGUAAACGCCAUGACAAUUGUAGUUACAGUUUUUAACAAACUGUCCCGACUCGCAGUUGGGAACACGACAGUCGUGGUUGGAAACUGGAAGCGAACAUCAGUCACCUGCAGCUAAGUCCACUUUUUGCCAUCUAUCUAUCUAGCCAUCCACCCUAUCCACCUCCUCCUAAUAUGGACAUUUGUCACCAUAUAUACAUCAUCUGAACUGCAUCACUUCUUCAGGUCAUAACUACUACUUACUACCAAUACUGUCGUUUUUCUUUUGAGGACGGGCUGGCAUUAGCUGAUCUUUUGGCCACUUGAGGGCUGCGGAAACUAGUAGUGAAAACAGCACUGAAAUAUCAUCACCUUUCAAGUUGAUGAGAAGAAAAGGCUUGUAGACGGGUAGAAGAAAGAGGAAGAAGAGGGAGAUGAAUGUACCUAUGCAGUAUGUUGGGUAAUUGAAUUGUUGAUGAAGGAGGGCAAGAGGAGGAGGAGGAGGGUUGAGACAAGUGGGAGAAGUGGCGGAAGGUGAACUGAAGAGGACAGAGAGGCGAGACUGUGAGUCCGGGUUCCCUUUGAAGUAAAAGAAGAAAAGCAAAGGAGGAAGGCAAGGAGUCUGUGUAUAGAAAGAAACAGUAAGUGAGGAAAAAGGUUAAAGAGUAGGAGAAGAAAUGAAGCAAGAAGUGGAGAGAGACUCAUAGAGAGAAGCAGAAGAAGCGACAGAGAGUAAAUUUGAGUUGACAAGAGGCAGAGGGAGGGGUGGGAAACAUCAAGGGAAAGAAGGGGGAGGGAAGGACAAAACAAGGAAGAUAAAGAUGUGAGAGGAUGCAGAGGUGAUGAAUGGAGAAGAGCGAGGCUUCUCAGCCGCAUACAUUCCAUCAUGAGGGUGAAGAGGUGAUUCACAGCCUUACAGGGAAACUGCAACAGGAUUGUGUUGGAGAGGAUGAAUGAUGAGAUGGAUGAGACGCUGAGAGACCAACAGACUUUCUUAAGGACGGAUACAGCGGAGAUAAAACUGAGACUGUCCUCACCAGGUAAAACGACAGUGCUGAUCAUUUGUUAAAAUGUGGAAAUGGACCUUUACUGUAUAACAAAAGUGGAAGUAGUGUGAUGUUAUACUGGUGCAACAAGUCUACAGUUAGAAUUAUUGUGGAAAAACUGAAAAUAAUUGUGUACACAGGGUGUUUUUUCCCUGUUUCGUCAUGUACUCAAGUUCCAAUUUGUUGAACUUUCAACGCUUUGUGAGAACAGUCAGAGGCUGAAGGCUACUGUUUGUGCUGUGAGACACAAUGAGAGAGAUAUUAAAAAGGUAUGUUUCUGAAUGUAUGAACUUACUAAUCAUCGUCAUUAGAUCCUACACACUCCCCUUCUCCCCCAUGAAUAAAUGCUGAACAAAGCCCAGAACCCUAGCUGAGCGAGGACAGUGAAGUAUUGUCCUUGGUUUACCUGCUUAUUAUUUUCUUACAUACAUACAUUUUUUAGCACAGAGAAUAGUGAAACAUGCUCAGAGCCCCAAGGUUAUGUUUUCAAAGUGUAUGUUAUGUACAACCAAAGUCCAAAGCCCAAGAAUAUUCAAUUUGUUGUCACAGAA